Molecule: ribosomal RNA, 467 nt
Filed under: uncultured bacterium
Lineage: Bacteria
Description: partial 16S ribosomal RNA
Rfam family: Bacterial small subunit ribosomal RNA
Source: RNAcentral
ACGAACGCUGGCGGCGUGCUUAACACAUGCAAGUCGAACGGAAAGGCCCUGCUUUUGUGGGGUGCUCGAGUGGCGAACGGGUGAGUAUCACGUGAGUAACCUGCCCUUGACUUUGGGAUAACUUCAGGAAACUGGGGCUAAUACCGGAUAGGAGCUCCUGCUGCAUGGUGGGGGUUGGAAAGUUUCGGCGGUUGGGGAUGGACUCGCGGCUUAUCAGCUUGUUGGUGGGGUAGUGGCUUACCAAGGCUUUGACGGGUAGCCGGCCUGAGAGGGUGACCGGCCACAUUGGGACUGAGAUACGGCCCAGACUCCUACGGGAGGCAGCAGUGGGGAAUAUUGCACAAUGGGCGGAAGCCUGAUGCAGCAACGCCGCGUGCGGGAUGACGGCCUUCGGGUUGUAAACCGCUUUCGCCUGUGACGAAGCGUGAGUGAUGGUAAUGGGUAAAGAAGCACCGGCUAACUACGUG